CGUGGAAAGUGUCUAAGAGUCUAAGAGUCUAUGUACAUGGUAGAAGCAAAACCCCUUUUAUAUAGGGUCUGAAGAAAACGAAAAAAGAAAAUGAAAGGGGAUAAGGGGAAACUUGCUCACGACGCUGUAAUCUUCCCUUCAUCUCACGGUCAACAAUUGCUUACAUUCCAAGCCCUCUGAUCAACUUGAACUCCGGUCAGCUCCUCAGAACCUCUGGUCAGCUCCAGGUCAGUGGCAUCAACCGUUCUUCUUCUCGCUUGAACCCUAGCUCGAGGGAGUCUUUCUUUUCUUUCCUCAAAAUGAAUUCCUCGUUCAGCUUUGCAAAUGAAAAGCAAGGGAGGAGACCCCUAAGGCAGCUGCUGCCAAAACUCCAAAACGCACCGUUUCAUUUAACCUUUUGGCCCAAUCCCGUAGCCCAUCAGUGUGUGUGCAAUCAGCGGAUCAAGUUUCUUCCAAAUCAGUACACCACCAGCCCAAUGCUUCUCUUUGUUAAUUCUAAUGGUAGCAGCAGAAUUCCAGGCCCUUUUCUUCCAGCGGCGGCCCAUUUUAGUGCAAUCAAUCAGCCCAAUG
RNAcentral lists this long non-coding RNA (570 nucleotides) under Vigna radiata. RNAcentral's name for it is "long non-coding RNA (VRAD_LNC018079)". Lineage: Eukaryota; Viridiplantae; Streptophyta; Magnoliopsida; Fabales; Fabaceae. The record is from RNAcentral.